GCUUCGUUACUACAGUUGGUAGAGCGUUAGACUUUUAAUCUAACGGUCAGGGGUUCGAAUUCCCUGCGGGGUU
Molecule: transfer RNA, 73 nt
Filed under: Angiostrongylus costaricensis
Lineage: Eukaryota; Metazoa; Nematoda; Chromadorea; Rhabditida; Metastrongylidae
Rfam family: tRNA
About the family: Transfer RNA (tRNA) molecules are approximately 80 nucleotides in length. Their secondary structure includes four short double-helical elements and three loops (D, anti-codon, and T loops).
Source: Rfam by way of RNAcentral